RNAcentral lists this transfer RNA (79 nucleotides) under Candidatus Thorarchaeota archaeon. Its description in RNAcentral is "tRNA-Val". It matches the Rfam family "tRNA". Rfam says of the family: Transfer RNA (tRNA) molecules are approximately 80 nucleotides in length. Lineage: Archaea; Promethearchaeati; Candidatus Thorarchaeota. The record is from RNAcentral.
GGGCCGAUAGUCUAGCCCGGCUAUGAUACCGCAUUGACACUCCGCCGACUCGCUGGUUCAAAUCCGGCUCGGCCCACCA